GGGUACAGGAAGAGCUUGCUCUUUGCUGACGACCGGCGCACGGGUGCGUAACGCGUAUACAAUCUACCUUGUACUGGGGUAUAGCCCAGAGAAAUUUGGAUUAAUCCCCCAUAGUACCAUUUUAUAGCAUUAUAUUAUGGUUAAAGGUUACGGUAUAAGAUGAGUAUGCGUCCUAUUAGUUAGUUGGUGAGGUAACGGCUUACCAAGACGACGAUAGGUAGGGGCCCUGAGAGGGGGAUCCCCCACACUGGUACUGAGACACGGACCAGACUCCUACGGGAGGCAGCAGUGAGGAAUAUUGGACAAUGGAGGUAACUCUGAUCCAGCCAUGCCGCGUGCAGGAAGACUGCCCUAUGGGUUGUAAACUGCUUUUAUACAGGAAGAAUUGCGAUCACGUGUGAUUGUUUGACGGUACUGUAAGAAUAAGGAUCGGCUAACUCCGUGCCAGCAGCCGCGGUAAUACGGAGGAUCCGAGCGUUAUCCGGAAUCAUUGGGUUUAAAGGGUCCGUAGGCGGGUUUAUAAGUCAGUGGUGAAAGUUUGCGGCUCAACCGUAAAAUUGCCAUUGAUACUGUAGAUCUUGAAUUAGUGUGAAGUGGUUAGAAUGUGUAGUGUAGCGGUGAAAUGCAUAGAUAUUACACAGAAUACCAAUUGCGAAGGCAGAUCACUAACACUAUAUUGACGCUGAGGGACGAAAGCGUGGGGAGCGAACAGGAUUAGAUACCCUGGUAGUCCACGCCGUAAACGAUGGAUACUAGCUGUUUGUUGCACUUUGGUGUGAUGAGUGGUUAAGCGAGAGUGAU
This 801-nucleotide ribosomal RNA is filed under the name uncultured bacterium. RNAcentral's name for it is "bacterial SSU rRNA". It matches the Rfam family "Bacterial small subunit ribosomal RNA", at positions 67 to 861 of the family's 1533-position model. The record is from RNAcentral.